This 655-nucleotide ribosomal RNA is filed under the name Corynebacterium sp. BCW_4722. RNAcentral's name for it is "bacterial LSU rRNA". It matches the Rfam family "Bacterial large subunit ribosomal RNA", at positions 1696 to 2338 of the family's 2925-position model. Lineage: Bacteria; Bacillati; Actinomycetota; Actinomycetes; Mycobacteriales; Corynebacteriaceae. The record is from RNAcentral.
GAACUCUCUUCAAGGAACUCUGCAAAAUAGCACCGUAUCUUCGGUAUAAGGUGUGCCUAACUUUGUGAAGGAUUUACUCCGUAAGCAUUGAAGGUUACAACAAAGAGUCCCUCCCGACUGUUUACCAAAAACACAGCACUCUGCUAACUCGUAAGAGGAUGUAUAGGGUGUGACGCCUGCCCGGUGCUCGAAGGUUAAUUGAUGACGUUAGCUCUGCGAAGCGUUUGAUCGAAGCCCGAGUAAACGGCGGCCGUAACUAUAACGGUCCUAAGGUAGCGAAAUUCCUUGUCGAUUAAAUAUCGACCUGCAUGAAUGGCGUAACGAGAUGGGAGCUGUCUCGAAGAGGGAUCCAGUGAAAUUGUAGUGGAGGUGAAAAUUCCUCCUACCCGCGGCAAGACGGAAAGACCCCGUGGACCUUUACUACAGCUUGACACUGCUAUUGGGAUAAAAAUGUGCAGGAUAGGCGGGAGGCUUUGAUCUAUAGACGCCAGUUUAUGGUGAGCCAUUGUUGAGAUACCGCUCUUUUUUAUUCUGAUAGCUAACUAGCUUGAGUUAUCCUCAAGUAGGACAAUGUCUGGUGGGUAGUUUGACUGGGGCGGUCGCCUCCCAAAAUGUAACGGAGGCUUACAAAGGUUGGCUCAGAACGGUUGGAAAU